This 1358-nucleotide long non-coding RNA is filed under the name Pan troglodytes (chimpanzee). RNAcentral describes it as "lincRNA". Lineage: Eukaryota; Metazoa; Chordata; Mammalia; Primates; Hominidae. The record is from RNAcentral.
AGCGCCUUUGGGCGGCGCCGGGCGUGGUGGGCCGGGAAGUAUGGCGGCUGCUCGAACGCCGCGCGGCGGAGGCCAUUAAGGCGUGGACGGCCCGGGAAGGCGGCCUAGGGACGCAAGCAGGCUCGGCCGCCUCUUUCGGCCACGGAGCCGCGCAGAUCCGGUUCCCGGUUGACCACUCUGUCGCCAUUGGGCGAGACCUACCUAGUCCUGACGACAACGGACAAAGGCCUUAAGGGGCCUGAAAGCAACCUCCAGUCCUGCAAGCUUCAUUCCUGAAUGGUAGAAAGCAGUCUUCAGCCUGAGACCCAUCCCUAGACUCUAUGGCACAAAGAGGCACUACAGAAAAUCCCAGAAUUUAUUCCGACUGAAGCAAUAUGCAACUGGCAAAACUGGCAGCUGAAAGGAUCCUGAAUCAGAAGUUUACUUUAUCAGGACACACAACUUAACUUGACAACCAGAGUCUUACAUUUAAAAAUACCUGAAUAAAACUCAUUCACUAACUCAGAAGAAAUUUGAAAGACUAUGAAAAUCUUUGAAUACAAUGUAGAAGUUUUUACUCCAAAACAGUGAAAAGGAGAGAGAGUAGAAGAGGAGAGAAGAGAGGAAGGAAGAAAAGGAGAGAAGAUGAGAAAAAAAAGCAAGUAGUGUCUUAAAUGGGAGAAAAAGUGAUAAGGAAAUAGUUUAAUUUAUUAAAGUCAAAGUUCAAUAAAAGUAAAUUAACUGCUUUAAUAUGUAAAGUAUUUUAACAAAUGAAUCACAAAAGGCUGUGAAGUUAAUUAUGGAUCCUCAAAAUGCAUAUUUGAAAAGAAUUGUCUACUUUGGAUUAGAAAUACUUAAUAUUUAUUAUUGUAGUACCAGAAUCCUCAUCUUUACUCAAGUAAUUCCCUAGGCUUUUAAUAUAAGCAAUAAAAAUUCUAAUACAUUGCUGUUUCUGAGAUUAAAAUAAAAUCCAGUAGUUUUGAAUCAGUCAGAAACAAAAUCAAAUACCUCUUAGAUUUAAUUGUGUGGGUAUUAUCUUAAAGAGAAGCAGGGUGACGCAUUGAAAAGACUAUAUUUUUUCAGCAGCAAACCUUGGUUUAAAUGUGCUACUUGUUAUGUAAAAAUUGAAAGAAAAAAGAAAACAAUUUUCUUUGGUUAACAAAUGUGAAUUUCAUUUAUUUAUCUGAAAAAAUUACAAUAAUAAAACAUAUGUUUGUUACCUAUGUAUAUGUAUAUGUGAAUAUAUAUAUAAACACACAUAUAUACCUGUGUGUAUCAGACAGAAUUUGUUUCAUGUAUAGACAGAAGUUUGUAUAUAUAAAAACAAAAAUUUUAUUCAAUAAUAUGUUAUUUAAAAUUAAAAUUGAUUGUGAUUUGUA